Molecule: RNA transcript, 1661 nt
Organism: Anopheles gambiae (African malaria mosquito)
Lineage: Eukaryota; Metazoa; Arthropoda; Insecta; Diptera; Culicidae
Gene name: keratin-associated protein 5-2
Exons: 6
Source: RefSeq, a predicted model, not a curated record
AGAGGUUCAUUAUUCGUUUUGCCUUCGAACGGAAAGGUCUCCUAAAGGGAAGAAAAUUUUAUUAGAAAAAAAAAUCAGUGUCGAAAUUUCAAAGUGUUUUAAAGCUAGAAGCUAUCUUUUGGAAGAAAUUUUACAACUAGAAGAACCACUGAAGCAUUACUACCUGCGCUGGACUUGUGAAAGCAAGAACAUCAGAACGCUCUUGAAGCUCCAACUUUGAAGCAAUCCAGCUGCUGCGCCACAACUGUUUGAUUUCUCGAAGAAUCAAUCCAUACAAAAAAAACCGAAAAUGUGCGAUCCGUGCUGUGGUCCCUGCGAUCCCUGCUACUCCUGCUAUCCUUGCACACCUAAACCAUGCAAGAGUCGCGAGCUCCGAGGCGGAAUUCUCAUCUCCAACUGCGAGUGUCUUAAGCGCAACGGUCUCCAACAUGACUGCCCACGUUCGGAGUGUCAGGCAAAACCAUGCUGUCUGACGAAACCCGAAGCUUCCUGCUGUCCAUCGCAGUGGGCCCGACGCUACCGGUUCGUGACGAUGGGCAAGAAAAGCAAUCCGGUGCGUCCAUCGAAGAACUGCUGCCUGCCCUGCGGAGGUGGCGGGUGCAAUCCUUGCCCAAUCGAUCCGACCUGUUGCGCACCUUGUGGACCAUGUGGACCUUGCGGACCUUGCGGACCAUGUGACCCAUGUGGACCUUGUAAUCCGUGUGGACCUUGUGGACCUUGCGGCCCGUGUGACCCGUGUGGACCUUGUGGACCUUGCGGCCCGUGUGGACCCUGCGGACCCUGCGGACCUUGUGACCCGUGCUGUGCCCCUGCAUGCGGUCCGGUGUGUGAUCCUAGCUAUCCUCCGGUGUGUGAUCCUUCCUGCAGCGUACCUUACUAUCCGCUGAAGCGCAUCCGGUCGGCUGUACGGCAGCCUACGCCCCGGCCGAAGAUGGCCAAAACCAAUUGGUACUGUCCGCCCCGGUACACGAUCUGGCGUCCACCGGCGCCCUGUCGUUACCGGGCACCGUGCAAAGCUCACUGCUACAAUGUGGAGCGGUUUUGUUGUCCCUGUUAGGGGGCGAUGCGUUUGUAGGGUGAAAUAAACUCCACUUGUUUAUCUAAAUUGGCGACCCUUGCAGUGAUGGCUGCAUACCCUGUGGACCGUGCUAGGAUGUUAAGAACCGUGAGGAGCGGUUCACACAACCGAAUGCAUACACAUCCGUGUCUAACACAACUCGCCCCCCAUCAAUGCCUGGUUAUGUAGGUAGUGUGCCAACCAACUCCAGGACCUAGUCUCUCUUUUUACGCCAUCGUUAUUAGGAAAAGGAACACGCCCACGGCUGCAAGAACGAAUAUCGGCGAUCUUACUACUCCGUUCGAAGAGAAAUUACUCGUGUUGUUUCUAUGCUUCCCUGUCGUUAAAUAUCUCUGUUGAGUUUGAAGAAAAUUUUAUCACACGUUACAUAGAGAGGCAGCCUCGCACACCAUCGUUAGCAAAGCAUCGUGCAUAUGCUUCCCGUAGAGAGAGAGAGAGAGCAGAACGCAUCGAUAGGCACCCAUUAUCACCAUACUCCUCCAAACGCACGAGAAAAUCGUCUAGCAGCACCCAGUUGAAAGUAGCGCCGAACAUAUGUUCAGUGGAAUAAAAAGCGUAAAAACGAUUCGGAAAUCAAACUAAA